Phasianus colchicus (ring-necked pheasant) is the source of this 2169-nucleotide long non-coding RNA. RefSeq lists it as uncharacterized. Lineage: Eukaryota; Metazoa; Chordata; Aves; Galliformes; Phasianidae. The record is from RefSeq and is a predicted model, not a curated record.
GUCUUUUCUCCAGGAAGCUUUGGUUUUGGAAUGGGACUAUAAGCAUCCACUGAAAGGAUUCUCUGUUCCACUCAACAUACUGUGACACUGACAGAAAGCUUCUGGUUGAGUGAAACCUCUGUAAAUCUGCCAUUGGGUCCUGUUUCUUCCUUGAUCACAGCACAUCCCAAGUCAUCUCUGUGACAGAGCUUCCUUACUGGGGAAAUCUCAAGAUGCAAAUUCAUGUAGGUGGCUUUUGGAGCUCCAUCAAAAAGUGACCCAUCUUGAUGAUGCUCAACAUGCAAGCUGCCACUGAAUCACAGCCACAGCACUACAGUACUGUUUGAUGCUGGGUCUUGGGGCAAUGAAUGUGGAAUAACAGAAGUGGUAUCUGGUAGCUAAAUGCACCUACUGUAUGUCACCUAGUUUUUAAUACUUUUGCAUUACUUUUGCACGCUGAAAAUAAAAGAUGGCAUUUAAUUGCUGGUAGAACUCAGAUCAUUGUGGCAGAGUUGGACAGAAAAGAAAACAGACCCAGAGAUGUGAUUCACUGUCCGCAAAAUCAAGUAGCAGAAAGAUCAGAAUUGAAGAAUGCAGAUAGAAGCUUUCCCUGAUCAUCACUAAGAUUUAAAAGCAUAACAACAAGUAACAUGAUUGUCAUGGUGACUGAGUGUUUGUUUAUGGUAAAAUGCAUCAGGCAAAGUUGGAAUGUUUUUAAUUUAAAGCUCAGAUGACAGGGAAUUGAGUAUUGUAAGAAAGAACAGGAAUAUAUUCUUGGCAGAUACAAUGCAAAUAAUUAUUUUUCCUAUGAAAAUUCCUUUCAGAGCUCACUUUUUCCUGCCUCUUUCUUCAUUUUAAUUCUGAAUAUGUUUGUCUUUUGUGAAUGGAGGGAGCCAUCAAGCUAGGUUUGAGGAAAGUGAAAAUGAGCACCGCUCAUAAGCAGACUCUUGGUAGUAAACAGACAUUAUGGCUUCUUAUAAUAAUAUUUUUUAAAAAAGAAUAAUUCUUAAAUCUGAUUGCUGCACUAUACGCUGUGCUGGAACUUGCAAAUAUAUGAGAAGUCAGUCAGAUAGUAUGCUGCAUAGAAUUAGUUUAGCAUUUUUUCUCCUGAAAUUGUCAGGUGACUCAAUUUUCUGGGCCCCAUAUUCUAAAAUUCAGUUUUAUUUGCCUAAAAAUAGCACACAUAAUAAAACCCAAAACACUAAACCUCCAGGACCAACAUAAGAGAACUUAAUAAGAUAUUCAAUUUGCUGCAAUUUAAAUUGAUGGGAAAAUCCUGUUAAGAUUAGAAGUGUCCAAUAGGCUGAUAGUUUGUUAUAUGAUAAUAAAUUAGUUUUGUGUAAAUUACUCUUGCUGUAAUAUACCCUACAUUUGCAAGCAUUUCUUUGAAACCAUUCAGGAAUAGCUCUCCAUCUUGAACAAGUGACUUCAGAGCCUCAGGGCUACACUGAAGGCUGAUGAACAACAGCAUCCUCACCUACAGCUAUGUACUUCGAGACAGUAUUUCAUGUUAACGGCAAAAUAUCCAAUGGACUUUCACAGGAGAUGUUCAAAAGGUCUGGAGCACAGAACUCAAUCGUUUAAGGAUUGGAAGAAGGUUUUUAGAAAGCCUUAAAAUCAUUAUACCUUCAGUCUCCAUCUCUAUCUCUUUUUAAGGGUAACAAAUGUAGUAAAUGGAGGGAGAUAUCUGAUUUGCAUGCAAAGCCUGCCAGUUUACAGGGAGCUUUUUGCUGUCACUGGUCAGAAGAUAACGUUUAUUUUGCAUUUAAUUGUAUUUUUGGGAAUAUAUCAUUGUGCCUUGUGAUUUUAAAUGAACUGGCAAAAAUUUAACUGGCAAUAAUCAUUAUAUUUUAAUACUCAUAGAUUUCAUUGAAAUGAGUGGUAAGAUAUGUAUUAAUGUUAGUAGGCACAAGACCAGGCUUUAAUGGUACAUGACACCACCUAGGAAUCUUUUAAAGAUAUUGCUUUAGAAUGAAAGAGAAAAAGUGUUUAAAGUUCUCUUCUUGUACAAGACAAAUGAUGUGGGUUUAUGUUAAAUUUGAAAAAAAAUAUCAAAUGACUUUGUAAAAAAGUUUAACUUAAUCAGAUUUGCAGAUUCUCAUAUAAAUUACCAAACUAGUAACUACUUUCAUGGCAUUAUUACUAAAAAAAGAAUUAUUAUUUGCAAAUUGCAUAAAAAUAAAUAGAAGA